UCCCCGGUGGCUCAGACGGUAAAGCGUCAGUCUACAAUGCGGGAGACCUGGGUUCGAUCCCUGGUUGGGAAG
Ovis aries (sheep) is the source of this 72-nucleotide transfer RNA. It matches the Rfam family "tRNA". From Rfam's summary of the family: Transfer RNA (tRNA) molecules are approximately 80 nucleotides in length. Their secondary structure includes four short double-helical elements and three loops (D, anti-codon, and T loops). Further hydrogen bonds mediate the characteristic L-shaped molecular structure. tRNAs have two regions of fundamental functional importance: the anti-codon, which is responsible for specific mRNA codon recognition, and the 3' end, to which the tRNAs corresponding amino acid is attached (by aminoacyl-tRNA synthetases). tRNAs cope with the degeneracy of the genetic code in two manners: having more than one tRNA (with a specific anti-codon) for a particular amino acid; and 'wobble' base-pairing, i.e. permitting non-standard base-pairing at the 3rd anti-codon position. The record is from Rfam. NCBI's taxonomy places the organism in Eukaryota, Metazoa, Chordata, Mammalia, Artiodactyla, Bovidae.